RNAcentral lists this unclassified non-coding RNA (254 nucleotides) under uncultured Anaerolineae bacterium. RNAcentral describes it as "contains 16S-23S intergenic spacer region". It matches the Rfam family "Bacterial small subunit ribosomal RNA", at positions 524 to 776 of the family's 1533-position model. The record is from RNAcentral. Lineage: Bacteria; Bacillati; Chloroflexota; Anaerolineae.
AACGUAGGAGGCGAGCGUUAUCCGGAUUUACUGGGCGUAAAGCGCGUGCAGGCGGUCCUGCAAGUCAUGCGUGAAAGCUCCCUGGCCCAACCGGGAGAGGCCGUGUGAAACUGUAGGACUUGAGGCAGAGAGAGGCGAGUGGAAUUCCGGGUGUAGUGGUGAAAUGCGUAGAUAUCCGGAGGAACACCAGUGGCGAAGGCGGCUCGCUGGCUCUGUACUGACGCUCAGACGCGAAAACAUGGGGAGCGAACGUG